This 412-nucleotide ribosomal RNA is filed under the name uncultured bacterium. Its description in RNAcentral is "bacterial SSU rRNA". It matches the Rfam family "Bacterial small subunit ribosomal RNA", at positions 355 to 775 of the family's 1533-position model. The record is from RNAcentral.
UCGAGGAUCUUCGGCAAUGGGCGCAAGCCUGACCGAGCGACGCCGCGUGCGCGAUGAAGGCCUUCGGGUUGUAAAGCGCUGUCGAGGGGGAGGAACGCCGCAAGGCCUGACCGACCCCUGGAGGAAGCACGGGCUAAGUUCGUGCCAGCAGCCGCGGUAAGACGAACCGUGCGAACGUUGUUCGGAAUCACUGGGCUUAAAGGGCGCGUAGGCGGGCCGUCAAGUCAGGGGUGAAAUCCUCCGGCUCAACCGGAGAACAGCUUUUGAUACUGGCGGCCUCGAGGGGGGUAGGGGCAUGUGGAACUUCCGGUGGAGCGGUGAAAUGCGUAGAUAUCGGAAGGAACGCCGGUGGCGAAAGCGACGUGCUGGACCCUUUCUGACGCUGAGGCGCGAAAGCCAGGGGAGCAAACGG